This 200-nucleotide ribosomal RNA is filed under the name Staphylococcus haemolyticus. RNAcentral describes it as "partial 23S rRNA". It matches the Rfam family "Bacterial large subunit ribosomal RNA", at positions 2196 to 2395 of the family's 2925-position model. Lineage: Bacteria; Bacillati; Bacillota; Bacilli; Caryophanales; Staphylococcaceae. The record is from RNAcentral.
GAUACUACCCUAGCUGUGUUUUCUUUCUAACCCGCACCACUUAUCGUGGGGGGAGACAGUGUCAGGCGGGCAGUUUGACUGGGGCGGUCGCCUCCAAAAAGGUAACGGAGGCCCUCAAAGGUUCCCUCAGAAUGGUUGGAAAUCAUUCAUAGAGUGUAAAGGCAUAAGGGAGCUUGACUGCGAGACCUACAAGUCGAGCA